RNAcentral lists this ribosomal RNA (634 nucleotides) under uncultured bacterium. RNAcentral describes it as "bacterial SSU rRNA". It matches the Rfam family "Bacterial small subunit ribosomal RNA", at positions 8 to 641 of the family's 1533-position model. The record is from RNAcentral.
AGAGUUUGAUCCUGGCUCAGGAUGAACGCUAGCGGGAGGCUUAACACAUGCAAGUCGAGGGGCAGCACGUCUUCGGAUGGUGGCGACCGGCGGACGGGUGCGUAACGCGUAUGCAACCUACCCUUAACUGGAACAUAGCCCGGGGAAACUCGGAUUAAUUUUCCAUAGUAUGUCGAUGUCGCAUGGCAUUGACAUUAAAGCUCAGGCGGUUAAGGAUGGGCAUGCGUCUGAUUAGCUUGUUGGUGAGGUAACGGCUCACCAAGGCAAUGAUCAGUAGGGGUUCUGAGAGGAUGAUCCCCCACACUGGUACUGAGACACGGACCAGACUCCUACGGGAGGCAGCAGUGAGGAAUAUUGGUCAAUGGGCGCAAGCCUGAACCAGCCAUCCCGCGUGCAGGAAGACGGCCCUACGGGUUGUAAACUGCUUUUAUACACCAAGAAACCCCUCCUCGUGAGGAGGGCUGACGGUAGUGUAUGAAUAAGCACCGGCUAACUCCGUGCCAGCAGCCGCGGUAAUACGGAGGGUGCAAGCGUUAUCCGGAUUUAUUGGGUUUAAAGGGUGCGUAGGCGGGCCUGUAAGUCAGUGGUGAAAUCCUUCAGCUCAACUGGAGAACUGCCAUUGAUACUGCUGGCC